CAAAAGUACAACCCUGAACGGUGGAUCACUCGGCUCGUGGGUCGAUGAAGAACGCAGCAAAUUGCGCGUCGACAUGUGAACUGCAGGACACAUGAACAUCGACAUUUCGAACGCACAUUGCGGUCCAUGGAUUCCGUUCCCGGACCACGCCUGGCUGAGGGUCGGUAGCUAAAAA
This 175-nucleotide ribosomal RNA is filed under the name Poecilimon laevissimus. RNAcentral's name for it is "5.8S ribosomal RNA". The stretch from base 10 to 164 matches the Rfam family "5.8S ribosomal RNA". Rfam says of the family: 5.8S ribosomal RNA (5.8S rRNA) is a component of the large subunit of the eukaryotic ribosome. It is transcribed by RNA polymerase I as part of the 45S precursor that also contains 18S and 28S rRNA. The record is from RNAcentral. Lineage: Eukaryota; Metazoa; Arthropoda; Insecta; Orthoptera; Tettigoniidae.